UCUAAUAUGGCAGAUUAGUGCAAUGAAUUUAAGAUUCAUAUAUAAAAUAUAUUUUUUGUUAGAA
RNAcentral lists this transfer RNA (64 nucleotides) under Rhodopsalta cruentata. Its description in RNAcentral is "tRNA-Leu". Lineage: Eukaryota; Metazoa; Arthropoda; Insecta; Hemiptera; Cicadidae. The record is from RNAcentral.